AUUGGUGCCUUCGGGAACUCUGAGACAGGUGCUGCAUGGCUGUCGUCAGCUCGUGUUGUGAAAUGUUGGGUUAAGUCCCGCAACGAGCGCAACCCUUAUCCUUUGUUGCCAGCGGUUAGGCCGGGAACUCAAAGGAGACUGCCAGUGAUAAACUGGAGGAAGGUGGGGAUGACGUCAAGUCAUCAUGGCCCUUACGAGUAGGGCUACACACGUGCUACAAUGGCGCAUACAAAGAGAAGCGACCUCGCGAGAGCAAGCGGACCUCAUAAAGUGCGUCGUAGUCCGGAUUGGAGUCUGCAACUCGACUCCAUGAAGUCGGAAUCGCUAGUAAUCGUGGAUCAGAAUGCCACGGUGAAUACGUUCCCGGGCCUUGUACACACCGCCCGUCACACCAUGGGAGUGGGUUGCAAAAGAAGUAGGUAGCUUAACCUUCGGGAGGGCGCUUACCACUUUGUGAUUCAUGACUGGGGUGAAGUCGUAACAAGGUAAGCGUAGUGCU
Molecule: ribosomal RNA, 499 nt
Filed under: uncultured bacterium
Lineage: Bacteria
Description: bacterial SSU rRNA
Rfam family: Bacterial small subunit ribosomal RNA
Source: RNAcentral